This 75-nucleotide antisense RNA is filed under the name Embleya hyalina. Its description in RNAcentral is "ASpks TB sRNA". It matches the Rfam family "ASpks TB sRNA". Lineage: Bacteria; Bacillati; Actinomycetota; Actinomycetes; Kitasatosporales; Streptomycetaceae. The record is from RNAcentral.
UUUCAGCGAGCCCAGCCACAGCGGUCGGUCGUCGGGACGCUCCCGACCGUAGGUCGCCAGCAGGGCCUGUGCCUC